Molecule: ribosomal RNA, 496 nt
Filed under: uncultured bacterium
Lineage: Bacteria
Description: partial 16S ribosomal RNA
Rfam family: Bacterial small subunit ribosomal RNA
Source: RNAcentral
AUGCACGCUGGCGGCGUGCCUCAUACAUGCAAGUCGAGCGAACAGACGAGGAGCUUGCUCCUCUGACGUUAGCGGCGGACGGGUGAGUAACACGUGGAUAACCUACCUAUAAGACUGGGAUAACUUCGGGAAACCGGAGCUAAUACCGGAUAAUAUAUUGAACCGCAUGGUUCAAUAGUGAAAGACGGUUUUGCUGUCACUUAUAGAUGGAUCCGCGCCGCAUUAGCUAGUUGGUAAGGUAACGGCUUACCAAGGCAACGAUGCGUAGCCGACCUGAGAGGGUGAUCGGCCACACUGGAACUGAGAAACGGUCCAGACUCCUACGGGAGGCAGCAGUAGGGAAUCUUCCGCAAUGGGCGAAAGCCUGACGGAGCAACGCCGCGUGAGUGAUGAAGGUCUUCGGAUCGUAAAACUCUGUUGUUAGGGAAGAACAAAUGUGUAAGUAACUAUGCACGUCUUGACGGUACCUAAUCAGAAAGCCACGGCUAACUACGUG